This 358-nucleotide long non-coding RNA is filed under the name Carica papaya (papaya). RNAcentral describes it as "long non-coding RNA (CPAP_LNC007007)". The record is from RNAcentral. Lineage: Eukaryota; Viridiplantae; Streptophyta; Magnoliopsida; Brassicales; Caricaceae.
UCCCCGAUCACAAUCUCGUUGACUAAAUCCUUAAACACCAGCCGCUCAACAUCUAACACGACACCUGGGACCUCACAGGAGAAGUCUGUCCAACUCUCUGACCGAUGCAUUACGUCCUCUGUCAAGAUCCCUUUCAGGCCAUCUUCCUCUUCUUCCAAGUCCCACACUGCUUUCCAGCCCUCAACUUGUUCCAUCUCCUGACACAGUUCUUUCAGGAAUUUUUGGGCAUUCAGGGUUUUUUUUGCCAGUUUAUCAGACUUCAAAUAUGGCUCUGAAUUCACCCCCAGCAAAGCUAAUUUCUGGACAAGAACCUCAUUAACAGUGUCGAAUAUGAGCUUCCGGUGGAACUUCUCCUGAU